ACUCGGCAGCUCAGUUGUUGGAGCACGAGACUCUUAACCUCAGGGUUGUGGGUUCGAACCCCACAUUGGGUA
This is a non-coding RNA of Podarcis lilfordi (Lilford's wall lizard), 72 nucleotides long. The record is from the annotation of a GenBank genome assembly. NCBI's taxonomy places the organism in Eukaryota, Metazoa, Chordata, Lepidosauria, Squamata, Lacertidae.